Molecule: ribosomal RNA, 451 nt
Filed under: Stenotrophomonas maltophilia
Lineage: Bacteria; Pseudomonadati; Pseudomonadota; Gammaproteobacteria; Lysobacterales; Lysobacteraceae
Description: bacterial SSU rRNA
Rfam family: Bacterial small subunit ribosomal RNA
Source: RNAcentral
AGUGAACGCUGGCGGUAGGCCUAACACAUGCAAGUCGAACGGCAGCACAGAGGAGCUUGCUCCUUGGGUGGCGAGUGGCGGACGGGUGAGGAAUACAUCGGAAUCUACUCUGUCGUGGGGGAUAACGUAGGGAAACUUACGCUAAUACCGCAUACGACCUACGGGUGAAAGCAGGGGAUCUUCGGACCUUGCGCGAUUGAAUGAGCCGAUGUCGGAUUAGCUAGUUGGCGGGGUAAAGGCCCACCAAGGCGACGAUCCGUAGCUGGUCUGAGAGGAUGAUCAGCCACACUGGAACUGAGACACGGUCCAGACUCCUACGGGAGGCAGCAGUGGGGAAUAUUGGACAAUGGGCGCAAGCCUGAUCCAGCCAUACCGCGUGGGUGAAGAAGGCCUUCGGGUUGUAAAGCCCUUUUGUUGGGAAAGAAAUCCAGCUGGCUAAUACCCGGUUGGG